ACAUACUGCGGGUACACGGUAGCUUUGAGGCUGAAAAGAGAGGAAUGUGUGGAAAAGAUUACUUUUCUGCUCAGCAGCCAGAGCUCGGGCUUUGACUUCAGGGAGACUCACUUCAAGGAAGGCUAGGCUCACUUCAAGGAAAGAUUGGUCCCUCUUUCCGCCGUAAGUCCCUUCCUCAGGCCCCACCUCUUCUAGGGCUCUCCGCACAUUGGCGGAUCUCUGCGCCCUUUCGCCCUGCCAACCAACGAUAGGACAAAACUGGGCGAGAGGCGGAGCCAGAGCUCCCACAGAUCAGUGGGCUGGCGAGGGGUCUGGAGGACUCCAGCCUCUCGAGCACAGAGGUGCAGAAACCUCCCGAUGCCUAGAAAGACCGGACGUUUAGGGUGGGAGUUAAUGGGGCAUCAGUGACGUAGUUCCUUCUCCGCUUUGUUCCAAGACGUGGGUCGGGAGCUUUUGGUGAGGGUGAUCCAAGACCCCACUAGGAACUUUUUCACCAAACCCAAAGAAGAGAUGAGGCAAGAUCUGUGCUGGGCAGAGAUCCUUUGGAGUGAGGCAACUGUACACAGACAUGAAAGUGAACCAUUUUCUUCUCUUCAGCAGGUAUUGCCUCUUAUUCAUCACUCCACUGUAGCUAAUCAGUAACCAAAGACAUGUGACUCAAAAGGACCUGAAAGUCUGAGGAUCCUGGUGAAUUAGAGGAAUGCAAUCUCACUAGGUCUUAUAGAUGAUGUUCUUCAAGCUUUAAGGAAGAAGUCAAGCAAGAAUUGAGGGACCCCGGAGAGGCGUCUGUCUUAAAUGGCAACAAUGACAAGAGAAAAUUGGGCCCACAGUGCUCUGCGACAAGAGGGCCUCGUUAAAGGGAAGGAUGAUACCUGGAAGUGGGGAACCAGCUUCCAAGGGAGUAGCUCCACUGUUUGGGAGACCUCCCACCUGCACUUUAGACAGUUACGUUAUCAUGAGACAUCUGGACCCCAGGAGGCACUGAGUCGGCUCCGGGAGCUCUGUCGCCGGUGGCUGAGGCCAGAAGCACGCACCAAGGCCCAGAUCCUGGAGCUGCUGGUGCUGGAGCAAUUCCUCAGCAUCCUGCCUGGGGAGAUACGGACCUGGGUGCAGAUCCAUCGCCCCGGGAGUGGUGAGGAGGCCGUGGCCCUGGUAGAAGAGCUGCAGAAAGACCUUGAUGGACCAGCAUUUAAAGUUCCAGCCUUUGUCCAGGACCAGGACACUCUCCAGGAGGGUCUGAGUACUCCAGGAAUAGCACUUCCUCAUGCACCCACUGGCAGCCACAUAUCAGCUGAAAUUCGCUCAAGUUCUCUUACUGACCCAGUGGUGUUCGGCUUGCUCCAGGAUCCUCAACAUGAUUCUCCUUCCCCUGAAGCUUCUGCCCUUUCCCAGGAAGAGAACCCCAGAAAUCAAUUAAUGGCUCUCAUGCUCUUGACAGCCCAGCCCCAGGAAUUGGUGAUGUUUGAGGAGGUAUCAGUAUGCUUCACUUCAGAAGAAUGGGCAUGUUUGAGCCCAGUUCAGAGGGCCUUGUACUGGGAUGUGAUGCUGGAGAAUUACGGAAAUGUGACUUCCUUAGAAUGGGAGACCAUGACUGAGAAUGAGGAGGUGACAUCCAAGUUGAGCAUAUCUCAAAGAGCAGAUUCUCAGAGAGGAAUAUCAAAUAGAUUUCAAGGAGGUGUUCCCCAGCUUCUUGACUUUGAGGAAGAGUGUGAAUGGCAAGUUUUUUCAAGUCAGUGGGGAAAUGAAGCAAGGGAAAGAGAUAUACUGAAGAAAGGUUCCCUGUGUGAACGAGACAAGAAAAAAAGGACUCCACCAGAAAAACGAGGCCAAAAGUGGAAGGAAUUUGAAGAAAGCUUGGCUUCAGAUUCAGCUUUUUCUGAAAGUUUAAUAGGUGCUGAAGGAAAGAAGCUUUAUAAAUGUGAUAUAUGUUGUAAACAUUUCAAUAAAAUCUCCCAUCUUAUAAAUCAUCGGAGGAUCCACACUGGGGAGAAACCUCAUAAAUGUAAGGAGUGUGGAAAAGGCUUUAUUCAGCGCUCAAGCCUUCUAAUGCACUUACGAAACCAUUCUGGUGAGAAACCUUAUAAAUGUAAUGAAUGUGGGAAAGCCUUCUCUCAGAGUGCUUACCUUCUAAACCAUCAGAGAAUCCACACUGGGGAGAAACCUUAUAAAUGUAAGGAGUGUGGAAAGGGCUUCUAUAGGCACUCAGGCCUUAUUAUACAUCUAAGACGCCAUUCUGGGGAGAGACCCUAUAAAUGUAAUGAGUGUGGCAAAGUUUUUUCUCAGAAUGCUUACCUCAUUGACCACCAGAGACUCCACAAAGGAGAAGAACCUUAUAAAUGUAACAAAUGUCAGAAAGCUUUCAUUCUGAAGAAGAGCCUCAUUCUGCACCAGAGAAUCCACUCUGGGGAAAAACCCUAUAAAUGUGAUGAAUGUGGAAAAACUUUUGCCCAGACCACUUACCUGGUUGACCAUCAGCGGCUCCACAGUACAGAGAACCCAUAUAAAUGUAAAGAAUGUGGAAAAGUUUUCAUUCGAAGCAAAAGCCUCCUCCUACACCAGAGAGUUCACACAGAAAAGAAGACUUUUGGUUGUAAAAAAUGUGGGAAGAUUUUCACUUCUAAGUCAAGUCUCAUUGAUCAUAAGAGGAUGCAUAGCAGAGAGAAGCCUUAUAAAUGUACUGAAUGUGGGAAAGCCUUCACUCAGAGUGCUUACCUUUUUGAUCAUCAGAGACUCCACAAUGGGGAGAAGCCCUACGAAUGUAAUGAAUGUGGGAAAGUUUUCAUUCUGAAAAAGAGCCUCAUUUUACAUCAGAGGUUCCACACUGGAGAGAAUCUCUAUGAAUGUAAAGACUGUGGCAAAGUCUUUGGUUCUAAUAGAAACCUCAUUGACCACGAGAGACUCCACAAUGGGGAGAAGCCUUAUGAAUGUCGAGAGUGUGGGAAAACCUUCAUUAUGAGCAAAAGUUUCAUGGUCCAUCAGAAGCUCCAUACACAAGAGAAGGCCUACAAAUGUGAGGAUUGUGGGAAGGCUUUCAGUUACAAUUCAAGCCUGCUCGUACAUCGGAGAAUCCACACCGGGGAAAAGCCCUUCGAAUGCAGUGAAUGUGGAAGAGCUUUCAGUUCUAACAGAAACCUCAUUGAACAUAAGAGAAUCCACAGUGGUGAGAAACCAUAUGAGUGUAAUGAGUGUGGCAAAUGCUUCAUUCUGAAGAAAAGCCUCAUUGGACAUCAGAGGAUUCACACAAGGGAAAAAUCUUACAAAUGUAAUGACUGUGGGAAAGUCUUCAGUUACCGCUCCAACCUUAUAGCCCAUCAGAGAAUCCACACUGGUGAGAAGCCCUAUGCAUGUAAUGAGUGUGGGAAGGGCUUUACUUAUAAUAGAAAUCUUAUUGAGCAUCAAAGAAUUCACAGUGGAGAAAAAACCUAUGAAUGUCAUAUAUGUAGGAAAGUGCUUACCUCUAGUAGAAAUCUUAUGGUGCAUCAAAGAAUCCAUACUGGAGAAAAACCUUAUAAAUGUAGUGAGUGUGGAAAAGACUUUAGUCAGAACAAAAACCUUGUUGUACAUCAGAGAAUGCACACUGGGGAAAAACCAUAUGAAUGUGAAAAGUGUAGAAAAUCUUUUACUUCUAAGAGGAAUUUAGUUGGUCACCAGAGAAUCCACACAGGAGAGAAACCAUAUGGUUGUAAUGACUGUAGUAAAGUUUUUAGGCAAAGAAAAAACCUGACUGUACAUCAGAAAAUUCAUACAGAUGAAAAAAACUGUGAAUGUGAUGAGUCUGAAAAAGAAUUCUCUCAGACUUCAAACCUUCAUCUUCAACAAAAAAUCCAUUCUUUGGAGGAUUUUAGGUCCUAUUCUCUCGGGUCCAAAUUCUCUUGGGUCCAAAAUGCCAGUGAGUCCAAGAUCAAGAUUCAAAAAAUCUAGUAUUGUGUAAAAUGGAAUAGCAUCCCUGCCUCUGUAAGUGACUGUUGGAUAAAUGGCAGCAUAUGGUUUUUAUAAGGGAAAAAAGUCAUGAUUGACCCUUUUGUAGACAAAUAUGUUGCAUGAGGCAGAAAGUUCAUCUAGACUUCCAAGACUGUGAAAACAUAAGCCAAAUUCUAGUUAAAGGAUACUCAGUUCCAAAUCAUUUCUUAUGAACCUAGAAAAGGACCUUGAAGCACUUAAAGAUUCUGAAGAAACUGAAUUAUGAUUUAUAAGAUAUAAUGAUGAUGUUGUAAAUGAAAACAAAAAUAUCUUUGGAUUAAAAAGUGUAUGUUUUGAAGAUACGUAUAUAUGGUACAUCUUAAAGAUAGUAUCACUCUAGAGAAUGUCUGUGCAGACAGUGUGAUUAAGACAUACAAAACAUGAAGUUGGGUGGGCAGGACUGCUCUUUGAGGACAAUUUAAGUACACUGGAUUUGGAAUCUGAAAACCUAGGUUUGGAUCCUGGCUCUUUCACUUACGAGCUCUGUGAUGUUAUUAAGUCAGUCUCUAAGUCUCAGUUUCUCUGUCAGUCAAAUACUGGCAUAACCCCUACUUCAGAGAAUUGUUUUGAGCAUUUCGUAAAAGGAUCACAUGAAAGUACUUUAUGAAAUAAUUUAAUCGUCAAUAAAGUUGGAUAAAAGAGAUGUGGUCAAAAUCUGGAAAAUGGCAUAAUGUAGUGUUUGUUCAUCAAGUUAAUAUUAGGACUUCAUGAACCUCAAAAGUUUAAUUUUUAUUGUAAGAGGAGGUAUGGUGGAUGGUUAACUUUGGAAUUUAGUACUCUAAAAAAACUUUAAAAACAGCUUUUUAAAUGUUUAAUGGAGAUAAUACAUAACAUACCUAGUUUGUUUUUAUGGAAAAAAAUAUUGGCUUACUAAAUAAUGUCUGACCAUUAAUUUGAUGCCAAGAAAAAAGUUUAUUUUUAAACCUUUGAAUUUUAAACCUAGCAGAUGUAGAGUGUCAAAAUAGGACAGUCCUGUCUCACUUCCCUUGCUGAUAGGGAAAAAUCCUUAACCUCAACCCCAGGGCUGAUUAUCUCUGCAAGUGUCAUUGUCACUUCUAAUCAAUAUUUUGUUGGUGACAUACAAAUGGCUUGCUACUCAAGAAACAACAUCCUAUCCCAGCACUCAACUUACCACAUAAGUUUUUUUACAUAGCCAAGCUCUUCAAAUCUCUGAUUAUACCAAUUCAGAAUCCAUCUCUGAGUGGUCAGGCCCAUUUACUCCCAGUGAACCAAUCAUUCAUUCAUUUUGUACCCUUUUUGUACAUUUGUAAACUUAAUUCUUCAUGUAUUCUUGGUUUGGUAAUUUUAUGUUGUAAUUCUCAGAACACUAGUUCUGUCACUGAAGUAUAAAUACCUUAAUAUUGGGAUUUUGUUUCCUGAUAUUUAGCAGCAUUGCAGUGGUAUGUUAAUUAUAGUAAGUGUUAUGAAUUCAACCCCGAAGUUCUUUAAGGGCUGGUUCCUUUUUAGACUGAAAGGACCAAGAGUGAAAACUGGAAGGGGCCUGGGUUAAAAGUCUGAAGGCCGUAGAGUCAGAUUCUACCACUUUUCCUUGGACGAAUGGUUUCAUUUCUUGGAGCCUUGGUUUCUUCAUCUGUUAAAUGGAAGACUAUCUACCUCCCUAAGUUGUUAUGGGGUAAUGAAUAUGAAGAUGCUUUAUGUCCAUACUGAAGAAAAAUUACCCCAAUUAUGUAAUAAUCACAUGUACUUUAACAAUGGAGAGAUCUGGCAUUUACCUCUUAAUCAGUUUAACAAAAUGUAACAUUGCUGAGACAAGUCACAUCAUGUGCCUCCCACCACAUGUAAUGCAAUAAGCCAAAAGUAUAACCUGAAUUUAUCAAGCUUCUUAGGCCUGAUUGCUAGUUUACAGGAAAUAUAGGAGGCAAAGGAACAAGAUAAAAGACAUCAUAAGAAACAAGUUCAGAAUGUGGCGUAUUGUCUAGGAAAACCCCUGCGGGAAUCCCCUGGCUGCCCUGUGGUGAGGCCUCUGCUUUCACUGCGGAGAGCGAACAUUCAAUCCUUAAUUCAGUUGAGGAACUAAGAUCCUACAAACUGGGCAGUGCAUCCAAAUAAAAAGCCACUGCACUGGAUUCUUCAAAGAUGAUGAAAAAGAGAAGGGGGUGAUAAUAAUUGUUGAUGCUCGGUGAGUAUUGAGAGUUUACUGUACUACUUUUGUAUAUGUAUGAAAUUUUCCAUAAUGAAAGAUACAAGUGGGGGCGGGGGGGUGGUUUAAAAGAUACUAAAGAGCCGUAAGAUACUGAGCCAGGAAUAGACUCACAAAUGCCCAAAUGAUUUUUGACAGGUGCAAAAGCACUUCAGGAGAGGAUGAAUAGCCUUUCAACAAAUGCUGCUGCAACAAUUGCAUAGCCAUAUUCAAAAAGAAAAAAUCAGUAAGACUAAGCAAAGAAAUCUUAAACAUAUCAAAAGCAUGCUGCAAAAAAGGAAAAAAGUGAUACAUUGAACCUCAUCAAAAAAAUAAUUUUCUCUGCAAAAGGCUCUAAAGAGGAUGAAAAGGCAUUACACUCUGGGAGAAAGUGUUUGCAAAUCAUAUAUCCAACACAGAAUUUGUAUCUAGGCUAGAUAAUUCUCAAAACUCAGCAAUAAUAAAUAGAUCCAAUUAGUAUAUGGGCAAAGGACAUGAACAGGUUAUUUUACCAAAGUAUAGAUUGGCAAGUGAAAAGAUACUCAACAUCAUUAGCCACUAGGGAAUUGCAAGAUAAUCUGUACAGCUAUCAGAAGAGCUUUUAAAUAUUUUAACACCAAGUGCUGGCAAGGAUGCAAAGGAACUGAAUCUAUUACAUUGCCAGGAAUGAGAAAUAGUACAGCCACUGUGCUGGAAUAAUUUGGCAGUUUCUUAUAAAACCAAACAUUCAUUUAACCAUAUCACCUAGUAUUUGCACUCUGAGCAUUCAUCUCAAAAAAAAUGAAAGCCCCUGUUACACACACAAGCCUGUAUGUGAUUGUUAAAAGCAGUUUUAUUAAUAGUAAUUUGUAAUAACUCAUCAAAUAUCCUUCAACAGGUAUUUAAAAGAAACUGCAAUAUAUCUAUACCAUGGAAUACUUAUUACUCUGCAGUAAAAUUGAAUGACCUAUUGAUAUCUGCAGUGACUCAAAUGUAUUCCAAGAGAAUUAUGCUGAGUGAAAAAAUCCAAUCUCGAGAGGUCAUAUACUGUAUGGUCACAUUUAUAUAAUACUCUAAAAUAACAAAAGUACAGGGAUGAAAAACCAGAUUAGUGGUUGCCAGAGGUUGGGGAUGGAGGGAUGGAGCAGCAGAAGAGGGAGGGGUUACACUUGGGGAGGUCUUGGUGUUGGAAGCAUUGUGUAUGUGAAUUGUGAUGGUGGUUCCACAGAUCUACACGUGAUAAAAUGACAAGUACACACACAUUGUACCAGUGUCAGUUUCCUGAUUUUUAUCUUAAAUUAUAAUUAUGUAAGAUGUACCCAUUGGUGGAAACUAGUUGAAAGUUAUUAUCUCUGCAACUCCUGUGAAUCUGUAAAUUCAUACUAAAAAGCAAAUCAAAACUAAACAGCCAUACCAAAUACAAUGUGUGAAACUGACUUGGAAAAACAAUGAAGUCUAUAUUUUAGGACAAUUGGAAAUUUGAAAAUGACUGAUGAUAGAUGAUAUUAGGGAAUUUUUGUUAAUUUUCCUACCUGUAAUGGUGGUAUUGUUAGUGUUGAGAUUAUUAUUAUUAAAAGAUACAUAUAGAAAUAUUUGGAAUGAGUAUUUUGAUGAUUACAACUUUAAAAAUGUUUCUCAGUAUGUAUAGAGAGAGAAGGCAAACGUUGUUUAGUUGCUCAGUAAUGUCUGACUCUUGUGACUUCAUGGGCUACAGAAGCCUACCUGGAUCCUUUGUCCGUGGAAUUCUGCAGGCAAGAAUACUAGAGCGGAUUGCCAUUUCCUUCUCCAGGGGAUUUUGGAUUUAGGGAUCUAAUCCUGUGCCCUGAAAUGGCAGGCAGAUUCUUUACCACUAAGCCACCAGGAAAGCCCAACGCAAAGAGAGUGAAGUGUUAGUUGUUGAGUACAGGCGUUCAUUGUACCAUUCUCUGUACAUUUGAUAUUUCCAAAAUAAAACAUUCAGGUCAAAAUGAUCAGGGCCUUCUACAGAUGGAUACUCUGUACCUUCAGGCUGCCGGCUGCGCGCCUCACUUCAGUGCUCUUGCCAGGCAUAGGAAUGCCCCUUGCCCUGAGGUUCAGGGUCCCCAGGCCACCUGCACUCUUCCUCUAAGCUUGUUCUUUCAUCCCAGAUCGGUAGCGAAAUUGGACACCCAACGAGAAGACAGUACCUCCAAGAUUCCUAGAGAGGCUGGUCUGGCGACUUGGGGAGCCGGAAGCCCAUCCCCAGGCACUUCCUGUCCGGUCAUUGUUCUCGUGCCGGUAGGCGCCGGGGUCCAGGCCAGCCGCUUUCUGCUCCAGAGCUCUCAAGCUCCGGCCGUGCUUCUGCUCCGCGCACGAUGCUACUCAUCAUGUCCCUGGGAGGAAACUCAGGAAGAAGCUUUUGAAACUUAAAGAUUAGAUGGGGCUUGACUUCUGCUGGGCAGCCCCCAGCCGUAGGAAUUCUGCUGAGCAGAGACGAUGACUGCAGAGUUGAGAGAGGCUGUGGCCCUGGCCCACUGGGGCCCAGUGACAGUGAAAAAAGAGGAAGAGGAGGAAGGCUUUGCGGGCCAGGCAUCCAGCCAACAAGUGCACUCUGAAAACAUCAAAGUCUGGGCUCCUGGGGAGGCGCCUCAGACAUGCCUCCCUGUGUCAGAACAGGAGGAAAAGGGGCAGAAUGUGUUCUGGGACAUGGCUGUAGUCCUGAAACCAACACAAGAGGCACCUGCUGCUUCAACCCCAGGCAACUCUUCAUUACCAGAGACUCUGGCCAAGAGCGAGCUACUGGACACUCAUGGGAACAUGGGAUGUCUAGCCUGCAUGGCCAGUUACUUGAGGACGGAUGGAGACUGCACAGCAGAGCCACCGACACUGCUGGGCUAUGUUCCUUUGAAAAGAUCAACAAGUCUUCUAAUAACAACCCUGGUUACCACUGCAUUCCAUUUGAGUGAGACACUGCUAACAGACCCCUUCCCAGAUACAGGAGUCACAGAAUAAAGCUGGAGGCAUGCCCACUUUGCUCUCUUCCACCCAGGCCAGCCAGAGGGCUCAGCUUGGGCAUCGUCACUUUCCAAAUGAUCUGGUCAUUAGAAGAAAUAAUGGAGCCCUUGUACUUCUGAGAGGACCCAAGAGGAAAAUGAACAGAGAGGGAGGGGGCAGAGUGGGAUUCCUAAGGUCUUAAUUUGGUUUUUUUUUGAAAAUCAGAAGUAUUGGCAUAUGAGAACUUUUAGGAGGAGGAAGAAACUGGCUAAGGUAAGAUACCUUUGUUAGCAUUUGAGCCUUUAUUCCUGGAAAAACAGUUUCUACAACUAUGCAAUAGGAAGAGUCAUGUAAUAAUAUUGCCUUGUAUUUAUAUAGAA
This is a non-coding RNA of Odocoileus virginianus texanus, 9411 nucleotides long. The record is from RefSeq and is a predicted model, not a curated record. NCBI's taxonomy places the organism in Eukaryota, Metazoa, Chordata, Mammalia, Artiodactyla, Cervidae.